AACGAACGCUGGCGGCAUGCCUAACACAUGCAAGUCGAACGAUGUCUUUCGGGGCAUAGUGGCGCACGGGUGCGUAACGCGUGGGAAUCUGCCCUUGGGUUCGGAAUAACCGUUGGAAACGACGGCUAAUACCGGAUGAUGUCGAUAAGACCAAAGAUUUAUCGCCAGAGGAUGAGCCCGCGUAGGAUUAGCUAGUUGGUGUGGUAAGAGCGCACCAAGGCGACGAUCCUUAGCUGGUCUGAGAGGAUGAUCAGCCACACUGGGACUGAGACACGGCCCAGACUCCUACGGGAGGCAGCAGUGGGGAAUAUUGGACAAUGGGCGCAAGCCUGAUCCAGCAAUGCCGCGUGAGUGAUGAAGGCCUUAGGGUUGUAAAGCUCUUUUACCCGGGAUGAUAAUGACAGUACCGGGAGAAUAAGCUCCGGCUAACUCCGUGCCAGCCGCCGCGGUAA
Molecule: ribosomal RNA, 452 nt
Filed under: uncultured bacterium
Lineage: Bacteria
Description: partial 16S ribosomal RNA
Rfam family: Bacterial small subunit ribosomal RNA
Source: RNAcentral